AACGAACGCUGGCGGCAUGCCUAACACAUGCAAGUCGAACGAGGCCUUCGGGUCUAGUGGCGCACGGGUGCGUAACGCGUGGGAACCUGCCCUUAGGUUCGGAAUAACUCCCCGAAAGGGGGGCUAAUACCGGAUAAUGUCUUCGGACCAAAGAUUUAUCGCCUUUGGAUGGGCCCGCGUUGGAUUAGCUAGUUGGUAGGGUAAAAGCCUACCAAGGCGACGAUCCAUAGCUGGUCUGAGAGGAUGAUCAGCCACACUGGGACUGAGACACGGCCCAGACUCCUACGGGAGGCAGCAGUGGGGAAUAUUGGACAAUGGGCGAAAGCCUGAUCCAGCAAUGCCGCGUGAGUGAUGAAGGCCUUAGGGUUGUAAAGCUCUUUUACCCGGGAUGAUAAUGACAGUACCGGGAGAAUAAGCUCCGGCUAACUCCGUG
This 433-nucleotide ribosomal RNA is filed under the name uncultured bacterium. RNAcentral describes it as "partial 16S ribosomal RNA". It matches the Rfam family "Bacterial small subunit ribosomal RNA", at positions 29 to 507 of the family's 1533-position model. The record is from RNAcentral.